RNAcentral lists this ribosomal RNA (257 nucleotides) under uncultured archaeon. RNAcentral describes it as "partial 16S ribosomal RNA". It matches the Rfam family "Bacterial small subunit ribosomal RNA", at positions 521 to 776 of the family's 1533-position model. The record is from RNAcentral.
UAAGACGAACCGUGCGAACGUUAUUCGGAAUCACUGGGCUUAAAGCGCGUGCAGGCGGUCCGGCACGUCCGCCGCUGAAAUCCCCCGGCUCAACCGGGGAACCGGCGCGGAUACGACCGGGCUCGAGGGGGGUAGGGGGAUCGGGAACUUCCGGUGGAGCGGUGAAAUGCGUUGAGAUCGGAAGGAACGCCCGUGGCGAAAGCGCGGUCCUGGACCCCACCUGACGCUGAGACGCGAAAGCCAGGGGAGCGAACGGG